GAAAGAAAGAAUUAGAUCCUGCUAGAAUAAAGUUUAAACGUAUUUUCUGAAGAUGAAAAAGAGCACUAAGUUAGGUCUUUCCAGCACUAACUGAUCCAGGUAAUUUUUGCAUGAAUAUCCCCUCAAAAGAAAAUAUAAAUGGAACAUAUGUAAAAUACAACCACUCAGACAUUCGGCAAAAUAGACGCAUUUGUGGAUUUACAUCGUGCAACCUACAGCUGCUACAUCUGAAGUUACUAACUUCUAACCAAGCCAACUAAACCAUCACUUACUGAAGUGUUAAUUGUAAAACCACAUGCAGAAACGUGACUUGGCCCAGGUAACCCCACAAUCCCACGUCAGAGCUCAACCUGCUCAGACCCACAGCGUAAGCUACCACAAACCUUGGCCUAAAGGCACUCUGUCCCCCUGCCUCCACACGAAAGCUGCAGCUAUUUAUUCCUGAGAGUUGCCAAUUGCACCUCAUUUUUUCCUAGAGUGAAGGGAAAGGCAAAGCGCUCCCGUUACUGAGAGGAAGCCAUGUACUGCUGAAGUAAAGCUUUCCAGAAUGAAGUGUGUUGAGGAAAGGGAGGCAGCACGGGGAGCCAAAACACAUUAGCCUGAGGCCACAUAGCAAGGAUAUCAAAGAAAAAAGGAAAGCGGAGAGGAUUCUGUCUGCUUGAAACUCUUGGCCCUUAAGUGAGAUGCUAGGAUUUGAUACAGCAAUGAUCAACGGCUUUCCAAAAAAGCAGAGCACUUGUGGACAACACCAGGUUGAAAUUUCUGUCUCUGAGGAAGAGGAGGAGGAGGAGAGCAGAUUUGUCGUAACCUCCAGAGCUCUGCAUGACCCAAGGGUGGCUGGCUCCCUGUGACCCUCUGGAUGUCAUAUACCAUCUGCGUAUGGUGCGUGAGGGCGUGAGGAUCCCACUCAUAUUCCUUCCUACUCAAACCCUCAAAUCCAAAAGCUGCCAUACCAGCCCCGUAACAAAUGUUUGCGCUAAGGAAUCUUUUCACAGUGACAGGACAGCUGUGCUGCAGCUCCCCAGAGCAGCUUUACACCAUGAAUCCGCUGCUGGGCUGGCGCGUGGUGUGUGGGAACAUGGGGACUCUGUGGGUGGCACAGGACAAGCAGGUAACAGGAGCCAAACCUGCCUCUCGCAGCACAUCCUUCAGGAAACCAGCUGGUGUCAUCAGAGACCUCGCUGCAAUGCAUCCCAAAACGGGGUAAAGCAGCAGAGUUGGGAGAUUCAUUCCAAAACUGCGCUCCUGAACCAAACCAAAAUGCUGGUGCAGAGGCACCCUCAGCAUUACUCUCCUGCAGCGUAUCCAGCUCCCUUCUGCUAGAAUGAAAUGCUGUUUGUAAAAGUAAUUCUAUCUGAAAAGUGGCAUUAUAGCUUGCUCCAAGUGAUGAGGCUUCAGCAAACCCUUUACUAAUGUUACAACAUACCUGUCUCUAUAGAUUUUCAAUUCACUUUGCACUUGUGUUUGCUGGUUACUGAUGCUGAAGUAAACCAAAAUAAACACAUCAAACACACGCA
RNAcentral lists this long non-coding RNA (1517 nucleotides) under Anser brachyrhynchus (Pink-footed goose). Its description in RNAcentral is "lncRNA (ENSABRG00000021337.1)". The record is from RNAcentral. Lineage: Eukaryota; Metazoa; Chordata; Aves; Anseriformes; Anatidae.